This 346-nucleotide ribosomal RNA is filed under the name Zeuxo normani. RNAcentral's name for it is "eukaryotic LSU rRNA". It matches the Rfam family "Eukaryotic large subunit ribosomal RNA", at positions 113 to 428 of the family's 3401-position model. Lineage: Eukaryota; Metazoa; Arthropoda; Malacostraca; Tanaidacea; Tanaididae. The record is from RNAcentral.
CCGAGAUCGGAUAUCGCACUUUCCACCGGGGAUGCCGCGUAUGGGAGUGGUCUUGAAAUGUACCGGGUCGAUGUAACUAUUAUUGAAUGGUUGAUGGAAAGAUAGUCCUGAUCAUAGAUGGUGUCAAUCCAGUAACGUCGACUUUCUACGGUGCAGUUCACCAGAUCGUUCUCCAGAGUAGGGUUGUUCGGUAUCACAGCCCGAAGAGGUGGUAAACUCCAUCUAAAGCUAAAUAUGUCCCCGAGUCCGAUAGCAAACAAGUACCGUGAGGGAAAGUUGAAACAGAACUUUUGAAAGAGAGUUAAAUAGUACGUGAAACCGUCGCGGGCUUAUAAAGCGAAUGGAC